AUUUUUUGUAUCAUUUUUUUUAGAACAAGGUGUGACCUUCUAUUUUUUUCUAUUCUAAUGCUUUUGACUUUG
This 72-nucleotide transfer RNA is filed under the name Monimopetalum chinense. Its description in RNAcentral is "tRNA-Trp". Lineage: Eukaryota; Viridiplantae; Streptophyta; Magnoliopsida; Celastrales; Celastraceae. The record is from RNAcentral.